UUGCUACUGGUAGCCCAGUUAGGGCGGU
This 28-nucleotide small RNA is filed under the name Bombyx mori (domestic silkworm). Its description in RNAcentral is "ovarian small RNA-37891". The record is from RNAcentral. Lineage: Eukaryota; Metazoa; Arthropoda; Insecta; Lepidoptera; Bombycidae.